CCUACGGGAGGCAGCAGUGGGGAAUAUUGGGCAAUGGGCGCAAGUCUGACCCAGCAACGCCGCGUGAAGGAUGAAGGUCUUCUGGUUUUUAAAUUCUUUGUUUGUGGAUGAACACUGUGGCGGUACCCCAAUCUCACGCCACGGCUAACUACGUGCAACCAGCCGCUGCAAUACAUAGGUGGCAAUCAUUCUCCGGAUUCAUUGGGGGUAAGGGGUGCGUAGGUGGUUUAGUAAGUUAGCGGUGUAAUUCCGGGGCUCAACCGUGGAGUUACCGCAAAUACUAUUAGACUGGAGUGCAGGGGGGGUAGGUGGAAUGCCUGGUGUAGCGGUGGAAUGCGUAGAUAUCACGAGGAACACCAGGUGCGAAGGCGACUUACUGAACUGUAACUGACACUGAGGCACGAAAGCGUGGGGAGCAAACAGGAUUAGAUACCCCAGUAGUC
RNAcentral lists this ribosomal RNA (443 nucleotides) under uncultured bacterium. RNAcentral describes it as "partial 16S ribosomal RNA". It matches the Rfam family "Bacterial small subunit ribosomal RNA", at positions 338 to 795 of the family's 1533-position model. The record is from RNAcentral.